AAAAGGUUUUAUUUUAGCAUAAAAUUUGGGGUUUUAAAUGAUUUAUAUGUAUAGUUAUAUUAAAAAUUUUUUUUCAGUAUAUAAUUUUAAUAUAUUAUUUAAGUAAUUUUAGUAAUUUAUAAGAGAUUUAAUAAAAUUUGUGCCAGCAAUUGCGGUUAUACAAAUAAUUCAAUCUAAAUUUAUUGGUUAAUAGUUAAUUUUUAAAAAAAAUUUAUAAUUAUUAUUUUUAGGUGAAAUUAUAUAUAAUAAUUUAAGUUAAAUUUUUGUUAUUUGAUUCUAUUAAAGUUUAUAUUAAACUAGGAUUAGAUACCCUAUUAUUUUUACUGUAAAUAUAUUUACCGAAAUAGUAUUAGUAAUUCUUGAAAAUUAAAAAAUUUGGCGGUGUUUUAACUAUUUAGAGGAAUCUGUUCUGUAAAUGAUAUUCCACGAUUAUUAGUACUUUUUUUUUAAUUUUGUAUAUCGUUGUUGUAAGAAGAUUUUAUUAGAAUAUAAUUUUCAAAUUUUUUAUAAAAUUAUAUUUCAAAUCAAGGUGCAGAUUAUGAAUGAGGAGUAAUGGAUUACAAUUGAGUUAUCAUUGGUUUAAAUGGUUAGUAUUUUUAAUAAAUUGGAUUUAAUAGUAAUAUUAAAUUUAUAUUUAAUAUGAUUAAAGUUCUUAGACAUGUACAUAUUGCCCGUCGCUUUCAUUUUAUUUGAGAUAAGUCGUAACAGAGUAGGUGUACUGGAAAGUGUACCUAGAAAGAC
RNAcentral lists this non-coding RNA (741 nucleotides) under Lamprigera yunnana. Lineage: Eukaryota; Metazoa; Arthropoda; Insecta; Coleoptera; Lampyridae. The record is from RNAcentral.